GCAACCGGCGGCGCCCGCCCGCCGAGCGGCCCCGCUCCAGAAGGUUCGGGCCGGGUCCCGGCGCGGUUCCCCGCGGGGAGCAGCCCCACGCGUGGGGCCCCACGCCGCUCCUCCCCACGCCGCCCCUCGGGCUGCCUCUCCCGAAGACCCGUUUUUGCCCGGCGAGGCCCCCGGUCCGGCCCGGCCCGGCUUGGGGAGGGGUGUGCAGGCCCCGGCGGGGAGCAGGCCCGGCCUUCACCUCAGCUCCUGUCAGGCGUUUGCAGGAAGAAGCAGCCCCGUGGCCGGCUGUAAAGGAGAAACCCCUCAGCGAGCCCUGUCGCUGGGCAUGGUCGUGAAAGGAAGGUUUCAGUAAAAGAAUGGAGCAAAUACACGGGGAGAGUUAUCUAGGUUUGCUGAAGAGCAGAGUGGUUGUGAACAUGCAGAGAACUGUAAUAUGGAAAUCCAGCCGCUGCCUCCAGAGAUGUGGAGACCUGCAGUGUCCAGAGGAAGGUGCCCGUCUCUCCCGUCAUGGCUGUGCUGGAAUCCAUCCCCUUUCACCAGGAGCACAGAAAAAGUGGAAAAUAGAACAGCAACAACAAAACCUUUGCAUAGGCAAGAUUCCUAAAUGCUAA
RNAcentral lists this long non-coding RNA (611 nucleotides) under Aquila chrysaetos chrysaetos. RNAcentral describes it as "lncRNA (ENSACCG00020001435.1)". The record is from RNAcentral. Lineage: Eukaryota; Metazoa; Chordata; Aves; Accipitriformes; Accipitridae.